This 106-nucleotide small nuclear RNA is filed under the name Jaculus jaculus (lesser Egyptian jerboa). The record is from RNAcentral. Lineage: Eukaryota; Metazoa; Chordata; Mammalia; Rodentia; Dipodidae.
GUGCUCACUUUGGCAGCACAUAUACUACAAUUAGAAUGAUACAGAGAAGAUUAGCAUGGCCCCUGAGCAAGGAUGACACCAAAUUUGUGAAGCAUUCAUAUUUUUU